AGGACUUAACACGCAUGUGAACAGUGUAAGUGUCCUCCGUGUUCACAGUGGUUAAGUUCUG
MicroRNA precursor from Gadus morhua (Atlantic cod), 61 nucleotides. The record is from Ensembl. Lineage: Eukaryota; Metazoa; Chordata; Actinopteri; Gadiformes; Gadidae.